GACAGAGGGUGCAAACGUUGUUCGGAAUCACUGGGCGUAAAGCGCGUGUAGGCGGCACGGCAUGUCGGAUGUGAAAUCCCAUGGCUCAACCAUGGAAGUGCACCCGAAACUGCCGAGCUCGAGUCUCGGAGAGGAAGGUGGAAUGCUCGGUGUAGAGGUGAAAUUCGUAGAUAUUAGGAAGAACACCAGUGGCGAAGGCGGCUCACUGGCCCGGUACUGACGCUGAGGCGCGAAAGCGUGGGGAGCAAACAGG
Molecule: ribosomal RNA, 253 nt
Filed under: uncultured bacterium
Lineage: Bacteria
Description: partial 16S ribosomal RNA
Rfam family: Bacterial small subunit ribosomal RNA
Source: RNAcentral